Molecule: non-coding RNA, 30 nt
Filed under: Rattus norvegicus (Norway rat)
Lineage: Eukaryota; Metazoa; Chordata; Mammalia; Rodentia; Muridae
Source: RNAcentral
UCUCAGCUAGAUCGGAUGCCUUGACACACC